Molecule: ribosomal RNA, 882 nt
Filed under: Escherichia coli
Lineage: Bacteria; Pseudomonadati; Pseudomonadota; Gammaproteobacteria; Enterobacterales; Enterobacteriaceae
Description: partial 23S ribosomal RNA
Rfam family: Bacterial large subunit ribosomal RNA
Source: RNAcentral
AAUUGAACUCGCUGUGAAGAUGCAGUGUACCCGCGGCAAGACGGAAAGACCCCGUGAACCUUUACUAUAGCUUGACACUGAACAUUGAGCCUUGAUGUGUAGGAUAGGUGGGAGGCUUUGAAGUGUGGACGCCAGUCUGCAUGGAGCCGACCUUGAAAUACCACCCUUUAAUGUUUGAUGUUCUAACGUUGGCCCCUGAUCGGGGUUGCGGACAGUGUCUGGUGGGUAGUUUGACUGGGGCGGUCUCCUCCUAAAGAGUAACGGAGGAGCACGAAGGUUGGCUAAUCCUGGUCGGACAUCAGGAGGUUAGUGCAAUGGCAUAAGCCAGCUUGACUGCGAGCGUGACGGCGCGAGCAGGUGCGAAAGCAGGUCAUAGUGAUCCGGUGGUUCUGAAUGGAAGGGCCAUCGCUCAACGGAUAAAAGGUACUCCGGGGAUAACAGGCUGAUACCGCCCAAGAGUUCAUAUCGACGGCGGUGUUUGGCACCUCGAUGUCGGCUCAUCACAUCCUGGGGCUGAAGUAGGUCCCAAGGGUAUGGCUGUUCGCCAUUUAAAGUGGUACGCGAGCUGGGUUUAGAACGUCGUGAGACAGUUCGGUCCCUAUCUGCCGUGGGCGCUGGAGAACUGAGGGGGGCUGCUCCUAGUACGAGAGGACCGGAGUGGACGCAUCACUGGUGUUCGGGUUGUCAUGCCAAUGGCACUGCCCGGUAGCUAAAUGCGGAAGAGAUAAGUGCUGAAAGCAUCUAAGCACGAAACUUGCCCCGAGAUGAGUUCUCCCUGACUCCCUGAGAGUCCUGAAGGAACGUUGAAGACGACGACGUUGAUAGGCCGGGUGUGUAAGCGCAGCGAUGCGUUGAGCUAACCGGUACUAAUGAACCGUGAGG